RNAcentral lists this ribosomal RNA (492 nucleotides) under uncultured bacterium. RNAcentral describes it as "partial 16S ribosomal RNA". It matches the Rfam family "Bacterial small subunit ribosomal RNA", at positions 29 to 507 of the family's 1533-position model. The record is from RNAcentral.
AGUGAACGCUGGCGGUAGGCCUAACACAUGCAAGUCGAACGGCAGCACAGUAAGAGCUUGCUCUUACGGGUGGCGAGUGGCGGACGGGUGAGGAAUACAUCGGAAUCUACUUUUUCGUGGGGGAUAACGUAGGGAAACUUACGCUAAUACCGCAUACGACCUACGGGUGAAAGCAGUGGAACUUCUGACCUUGCGCGAUUGGAUGAGCGGAUGUCGGAUUAGUUAGUUGGCGGGGUAAAGGCCCACUAAGUCGACUAUCCGUAGCUGGUGUGAGAGACUGGUCGGCCACAUUGGAAGGUGGACAGGGACAAUACGACUAAGGGACGCCGCAGUGGGGAAUAUUGGACAAUGGGCGCAAGCCUGAUCCAGCCAUACCGCGUGGGUGAAGAAGGCCUUCGGGUUGUAAAGCCCUUUUGUUGGGAAAGAAAAGCAGCAGGUUAAUACCCCGCUGUUCUGACGGUACCCAAAGAAUAAGCACCGGCUAACUUCGUG